This 336-nucleotide ribosomal RNA is filed under the name Triticum aestivum (bread wheat). RNAcentral's name for it is "partial small subunit ribosomal RNA". Lineage: Eukaryota; Viridiplantae; Streptophyta; Magnoliopsida; Poales; Poaceae. The record is from RNAcentral.
AUGGGCUCUAACUUCGAUUUAAUCAAAACAUGGCUGAACGAGCAUGAAAGCUAUGAAUUCAACAAAAAUCCCAAGCCGUAUCUGACAAUCUUGCAGCAAGAGUCAGGAGAACAUUCAAUGCCUCAAUCAUCUAAGAACAGCUCAAACAAGAAAAUCUCGGUCAAGAAAAGGCCGGUAAAGCCUUCAAGAAGGCUCCUUGGAGAAAUCAAGAUUCCUACAUUUGUCCUAGGAGAUUUCAAAUUCAUGAACAAAGCCAAAGCACUCCAUGAAUACCUAUUCAGCAAAGAAGGACAGGACGAAUGCGGAGAUCUAAACGUAUAUAUUAGGUUGACGUGA